CGCACAUUGCGCCCCUUGGUAUUCCGAGGGGCAUGCCUGUUCGAGCGUCAUUACAACACUCAAGCUCAGCUUGGUAUUGGGCCUCGCCGCUGACCCGGCGGGCCUUAAAAUCAGUGGCGGUGCCGACGUGGCCCUGAGCGUAGUAAAUCUCCUCGCUUUUGGACCCGGCGGUCGCUGGCCAGCAACCCCCAACUCUCUUAGUUUGACCUCGGAUCAGGUAGGGAUACCCGCUGAACUUAA
Molecule: unclassified non-coding RNA, 240 nt
Filed under: Helotiales sp.
Lineage: Eukaryota; Fungi; Ascomycota; Leotiomycetes; Helotiales
Description: partial contains 5.8S ribosomal RNA, internal transcribed spacer 2, and large subunit ribosomal RNA
Source: RNAcentral